GGGGAUCGCAAGACCUUGCGCUUAUGGAGCGGCCGAUGACUGAUUAGCUAGUUGGUGAGGUAACGGCUUACCAAGGCGCCGAUAAGUAGCUCGUCUGAGAGGACGACAAGCCACACUUGGACUGAGACACGGCCCAGACUCCUACGGGAGGCAGCAGUGGGGAAUUUUGGACAAUGGGCGCAAGCCUGAUCCAGCCAUGCCGCGUGAGUGAAGAAGGCCUUCGGGUUGUAAAGCUCUUUCGGCCGGAACGAAACGCUCUGGGUUAAUACCUGUGAUGACUGAUGGUACCGGAAGAAGAAGCACCGGCUAACUACGUGCCAGCAGCCGCGGUAAUACGUAGGGUGCAAGCGUUAAUCGGAAUUACUGGGCGUAAUGGGUGCGCAGGCGGUUUUUGUAAGUCAGAUG
This 405-nucleotide ribosomal RNA is filed under the name uncultured Nitrosospira sp. Its description in RNAcentral is "bacterial SSU rRNA". It matches the Rfam family "Bacterial small subunit ribosomal RNA", at positions 199 to 594 of the family's 1533-position model. Lineage: Bacteria; Pseudomonadati; Pseudomonadota; Betaproteobacteria; Nitrosomonadales; Nitrosomonadaceae. The record is from RNAcentral.